CUGCGGAGGAUCAUUACCGAAUNGUCAACAAGAGUUGUUGCUGGUCCUCAAAACAAGGGCAUGUGCACGCUCUGUUUACACAUCCACUCACACCUGUGCACUUUCUGUAGUUCUAUAGUCNGGGAGGCCCCGCCUUCCUUCUGUAGUCCUAUGUCUCUUCACACACACACUC
This 172-nucleotide unclassified non-coding RNA is filed under the name uncultured fungus. RNAcentral describes it as "sequence contains ITS1". The record is from RNAcentral. Lineage: Eukaryota; Fungi.